GUGCUUGCCUUGGUAGUGCAUAUACUAAAGCUGGAAUGAUACAGAGAAGAUUAUCACGGCCCCUGAACAAGGAUGACAUUCAAAUUCGUGAAGCGUUCCAUUUUUUA
Small nuclear RNA from Pongo abelii (Sumatran orangutan), 107 nucleotides. NCBI's taxonomy places the organism in Eukaryota, Metazoa, Chordata, Mammalia, Primates, Hominidae. The record is from Ensembl.